This 410-nucleotide ribosomal RNA is filed under the name uncultured archaeon. RNAcentral describes it as "bacterial SSU rRNA". It matches the Rfam family "Archaeal small subunit ribosomal RNA", at positions 148 to 559 of the family's 1478-position model. The record is from RNAcentral.
AAUACUCCAUAGGUCUAGGAGGCUGGAAUGCACUUAGGCUAAAAACUUUCGUGCCUUAGGAUGAAUCUGCGGACUAUCAGGUUGUAGUCAGGGUAAAGACCUGACUAGCCUAUGACGGAUACGGGUUGUGAGAGCAAUAACCCGGAGAUGAUAUCUGAGACACGAUAUCAGGCCCUACGGGGCGCAGCAGGCGCGAAAACUUCGCACUGCGCGAAAGCGCGACGAGGGAAUCCCAAGUGUAUGCACGCAAGUGUAUACUGUUUCUUUGUAUAAAAAGCAAAGAGAGUAAGAGCUGGGUAAGACGGGUGCCAGCCGCCGCGGUAAUACCUGCAGCUCGAGUGGUGAUCGUUAUUAUUGGGCCUAAAACGUCCGUAGCCGGUCUUGUAAAUGCCUAGGUAAAUCGUAUGGCU